GAUGAACGCUGGCGGCGUGCCUAAUACAUGCCAGUCGAGCGAACGGACGAGAAGCUUGCUUCUCUGAUUUUAUCGGCGGACGGGUGCUUAACACGUGGAUAACCUACCUAUAAGACUGGGAUAACUUCGGGAAACCGUAGCUAAUACCGGAUAAUAUUUUGAACCGCAUGGUUCAAAAGUUAAGUACGGUCUUGCUGUCACUUAUAGAUUAAUCCGCGCUGCAUUAGCUAGUUGGUAAGGUAACGGCUUAACAAGGCAACGAUGCAUAGCCGACCUGAGAGGGUGAACGACCACACGGGAACUGAGACACGGCACAGACUCCGACGGGAGGCAGCAGUAGGGAAUCUUCCGCAAGGGGCGAAAGCCUGACGGAGCAAAGCCGCGGGAGUGAUGAAGGUCUUAGGAUCGUAAAACGAUGUUAGUAGGGAAGAACAUAUGUGUAAGUAACUGUGAAGAUAAUGACGGUACCGAAUCAGAAAGCCACGGCUAACUACGUG
This 497-nucleotide ribosomal RNA is filed under the name uncultured bacterium. RNAcentral's name for it is "partial 16S ribosomal RNA". It matches the Rfam family "Bacterial small subunit ribosomal RNA", at positions 28 to 507 of the family's 1533-position model. The record is from RNAcentral.